RNAcentral lists this transfer RNA (91 nucleotides) under Morchella conica CCBAS932. It matches the Rfam family "tRNA". Rfam says of the family: Transfer RNA (tRNA) molecules are approximately 80 nucleotides in length. Their secondary structure includes four short double-helical elements and three loops (D, anti-codon, and T loops). Further hydrogen bonds mediate the characteristic L-shaped molecular structure. tRNAs have two regions of fundamental functional importance: the anti-codon, which is responsible for specific mRNA codon recognition, and the 3' end, to which the tRNAs corresponding amino acid is attached (by aminoacyl-tRNA synthetases). tRNAs cope with the degeneracy of the genetic code in two manners: having more than one tRNA (with a specific anti-codon) for a particular amino acid; and 'wobble' base-pairing, i.e. permitting non-standard base-pairing at the 3rd anti-codon position. Lineage: Eukaryota; Fungi; Ascomycota; Pezizomycetes; Pezizales; Morchellaceae. The record is from Rfam by way of RNAcentral. RNAcentral also lists the same sequence under 1 other name.
GCCCUGGUAGUGUAGUGGUUAACACACCAGAAACUCAGCACGUAGGUUUAGAGCUGUGAGGAGAUCUUGGGUUCGAAUCCCAAUCGGGGCA